GGAUAUGGGACUGGACUGCACUCUGCGGA
This 29-nucleotide non-coding RNA is filed under the name Homo sapiens (human). The record is from RNAcentral. Lineage: Eukaryota; Metazoa; Chordata; Mammalia; Primates; Hominidae.